CCUACGGGGGGCAGCAGUAGGGAAUUUUCGGCAAUGGGGGGAACGCUGACCGAGCAACGCCGCGUGAACGAAGACGUUAUUCGUAAUGUAAAGUUCUUUUAACAGGGAAGAAAGAGAAAUUUGACGGUACCUGAAGAAUAAGCUCCGGCUAACUCCGUGCCAGCAACCGCGGUAAUACGUAGGGAGCGAGCGUUAUCCAGAAUGAUUGGGCGAAAAGGGUGGGUAGAGGGCAUAGUAAGUCUUUUGUAAAAAUGCUGGGCUCAACCCAGUAGUGCAAAAGAUACUGCAAAGCUAGAGUAUGACAGAGGCAAGUGGAAGUAGAUGUGUAGCGGUAAAAUGCGUAAAUAU
RNAcentral lists this ribosomal RNA (348 nucleotides) under uncultured bacterium. RNAcentral describes it as "partial 16S ribosomal RNA". It matches the Rfam family "Bacterial small subunit ribosomal RNA", at positions 338 to 697 of the family's 1533-position model. The record is from RNAcentral.